Molecule: long non-coding RNA, 604 nt
Organism: Oncorhynchus kisutch (coho salmon)
Lineage: Eukaryota; Metazoa; Chordata; Actinopteri; Salmoniformes; Salmonidae
Exons: 2
Source: RefSeq, a predicted model, not a curated record
UGUUGCUUACAGUUGACGAGGGACAGAUUGUUGGUCACAGUGAAGUGACAGGGAAGGAUGUUGUGAGAUGUACGCUGUCAUCGUGUGACGAGCAUGUGUUGAGUGAUGUCUAGGUAGAGCAGAGCAGUCAAUGUCUCGUUCUGUUUGGCAUACCGUGUAUCGUCACAUUUACGCUGAUUGUUGUGCACUGUAAAGGGAUAUCAGGGGAGCUUCAGUUCCACAACUUUCAAGAUGAACGUUUACUGGAUACCCACAAUCCUCCUCUCCCUCUGCCUCUCCAGUGCUGCCAACAUGAUAAGCUCCCACAACUGUAAAGAGCGACUACAUGAGCACCAAACCCAGAGCUCCACUCAGGGGGCCUAGGAAGAAGCAGGGGGUCCAGCAUCCAAUCCGAAUGGGACGAUACUGACCACAGUCAUCCUCAGAUCACAAUCCUUCUCAUACAAACGCUAAACGAGAAUUGAGCCUUAAUUUGCCUUUGAGAGCUGACUGCUGAAACACACCAAGUUCUUUAAGUAAGCCUGUUCUUUUAGUCACGUGGUAUACAUCUAAUUGUACAACUGAUUGUGUGUAAAUAAAGAUUGAGUUAUCUUAUAAAUGUGAA